CAGCAGCCGCGGGAAUACGUAGGGUGCAAGCGUUAAUCGGAAUUACUGGGCGUAAAGCGUGCGCAGGCGGUUUGUUAAGACAGAUGUGAAAUCCCCGGGCUCAACCUGGGAACUGCAUUUGUGACUGGCAAGCUAGAGUAUGGCAGAGGGGGGUGGAAUUCCGCGUGUAGCAGUGAAAUGCGUAGAUAUGCGGAGGAACACCGAUGGCGAAGGCAGCCCCCUGGGCCAAUACUGACGCUCAUGCACGAAAGCGUGGGGAGCAAACAGGAUUAGAUACCCCAGUAGUCCCUGUCUCUUAUAA
This 301-nucleotide ribosomal RNA is filed under the name uncultured bacterium. Its description in RNAcentral is "partial 16S ribosomal RNA". It matches the Rfam family "Bacterial small subunit ribosomal RNA", at positions 509 to 809 of the family's 1533-position model. The record is from RNAcentral.